AUUGUAAUUUGCAUCGCAUCGCCCGCCGCUGGAACUCUACUCGUUCCCAAAUCCCAAUCCAUCGAACACACGGAGAGAGUCGCGUCGGAGGAUAAUGAAGAUGGUCUCCUCGUGCUCGCAGCCGUGCGCAGCUCGACUCCUCUCGAAGACGGACUUCUGUGGAUACAUCGGUCUCCGGCCGGUUCCUUCGUUUUCCGAGAACGAUGAACCUUCGCGAUGGAGAUCCUCUUUGCCAUAUCGGUUUCCGCCUCGGCGUUCAGGGAAUCUGCCUAGUGGUGUAGUGCUGCAAAAUCCGAGAAGUGGAACAAGCUUAGAUGCUUAGCUUUUACCCCAGUUAGACCUACAUUUUCCUUCUGCGGUGCAGGGAGUGUUCUUACCUAGGUGGUGUUGAAUUCUAUUACCACGAUGGGAUGAGUGCCCUUACCUUGGUGGAGGUGAAUUCUCUUAUCCCGGCAUGUUCUUAGCUCAGUGGAGGUUAAUUUGAUGGAGGUGAUUACUCUACAGGCAGAGGUUGCAGAACUCAUGCCAUGCAUGGAAGAAAAUAAGAAUCUCAGUUAUUGUAAGGUUGUAGAGGUGAUUGCUGAAACAACUACACCAUUGCUGCCUAUGGAGGAGCUUCUUGCCAAGAUAAAGUCUGACAGGUUGACACUGAAUUUUACAGUUAUUCUACUUUUGCUACUAAUCCACAAACAAAUCAACCUAUAGUUCUAUACAGCAUGCUUGAUCUCUCACUCAUUCUCUCUCUUUGUAUAUUUCUUCAAACAAUUUCCAAUUCCUUCACUGAUGAUUUUUCUUUGCUAAAUAAUUUGAAUGCAGCAAGCCAUAUCCUAUCUACCAAUGAAACUUAAUUAUGAGUUAGCCAUGCUCCAUCUCUUUCAGAGCUUGCUCCUUCUGGUACUGAACCUAAACCUACCAAGCCAAUAGUGAAGGAUGAACCUGCAAACGUGCAAGAGCAAAUGAUCGCUCCACUUUCUCCUUAUGCUAUGCGAGCCACUUUUUACUAUCACAUAUGAUGCUGGAAACAUAACCCGUGAACUUGAAGUGUUUUAUAUAAAUAGGUAUAAUGACUUGAAACCAUCAAGUUCCUGAUUCCUGUGCAAAGUAUUACCAAGCCAUCAGCUGCUGUUAGUCCAUCCAAAAUGGCUGGAGAUGAUUGUGACCCCAGGAAAAUCUCUCCUUAUGUAGCAUAAGCAAGUUUUCCUUGCACUUGUCUGAUUUUGCUCUUGUUGACUGAGCUGAAUGCCUAAUGUGCUAUUCUGGCAGGUAUGAAGAUUUGAAACCACCUUCCUCUUCCUCUGCCACCCAAAUCACUGCUUCUGCCAAGACAAGUGCAAUGGAUGUAUUACUAGGGGAAUCCAUAACAGAAAAUGGUCCAACUACGAUAAAUCCAGUCCUUUCAGCCGCAACAUAACCUCAUGCAGUUGCAAAUACUAACUUGAAUCACCGAUCGCCAUUUCCUAUGCAAGAGAAACAAAAGAACCGGGUCAAACAAGAAGACGUGCGGCAAGUUGAAACAAGUUCAAGUACAUCACUUAUCUUUUAAAUAUAUGUAUAUUAUGUCAUUGAACUAUCCUUUUGGUCCAACAUCUCCAACAGAGACAUCGACGCCUCAACCAUUUCAUUUUUCUCCACAUAUUAAUUAAAUCCGUUCACUGUAACCCUUUUUCCUCGAUUUCAGUUCAAUUUCUCCAUGUUCUAUAAAUAAUCUCGUCUCUCUGCAAUGAACAUGAACUUGAGGAUGAUAAGGAGGAGAGGCUAGGUGAGAGCAUGAUGUUGGUACGGCUCAAUCAAAUCAUCCUGAUUUAUUCUGAGUAUUAUAAAUUUGUAGUUCGAUCCGAUUGAGCCGUGCCAAUAUCAAACUUUGCCCGGUCUAUUUCAGAAAAGAGAAGUUUAAUGCUAUUGUGCUGCAGGUUUGCAUAUGAGUGGCUCCUGGAGUAUAUCAGUCCAAGGUAUGUAUUUUUGAUAUCCUGAAAAAAUUAUAAGCAUGGAUCCUGGUAAUCCAUUUAUUCUGAUGGCCAAUUUGUCGGUGUUAUUAAAAUCAGAUAAUUGAUCAUUUAGAUUCUUUUGAACUGGCGUAGUAUAUUUGUUCGAUCAGGGAACCCCCAAAACUCCGGCCGAUCUGAUUUUAAGAACACUGCAAGCUGCAACAGAAGAGUACGCACGCAUGCAACAAUGGAUGUUCGGAGGAACUUACUAUUCGAUCCGUUUAAAUGGAUAUAGAUUUUAAAAAUUUGGAUAAAAUAGCAAAAUUCUUAUGGGUAUUGAUGAGUUUAGAUGAAAAGACUCGCUAGCUAGUGAAUAGUUGAGAAAAGUUAAGCUAUUUGAAGAUUAUAUAGGAUUCUAUCUAAAAUAAGGAAAGAUGAUGUGCUGGGUAGAUAUAUUUAAUGUUGACCGUGCUCGAAGAGGAUGACAUCGAGCGAUCUUUUCUAUGUACACCAUAGAGAGAGCAAAUGAAAAUGUUAGAGUGAGAACUAAGGAGGGGUCCCUGGUACAGACAUUCCAACGUUCAAGUUAGAACCGUGACAAAAAUGGAGAAGACGAUGAACAAUAGAAUAAUAAUGUUGAUGUGUGUGUGCGCGCAUAGCAUAAUGUAUUUGGCUAACAGAGAGGAUCUUUUUUUUACUGACCCUCAUAACCUAUGCAAUAAUUAGGCGUUAGAGAAUGUUUGGUGUCAGAAUAUGUCGAGUAAAAGAAGAGGUACGACCACCCUCAGAGGAAGGUUCUAUUGUGUGUAUAUGUCAGGAUAGUGAAAUAUUCCCUGACGAGCAACUGUUAUUAUCUGAUAGGUUGUUAUAAUUUUCUAACAUAGCUAUAUCUUGGAGGAAAUUUGACCGGUUCUGGGGCCGAUCGGUUAUAUGCUGGGAGACAUGCCCUUGAAGAGGAGCGUAGAUCCUCUGGUCCGCAAAACGCAGACUAGAGGAUGGACCACUCUCCACUAUUGGUGGAGAGUGAUAGCCCCACGUGUAAAAUAAGUGGGGGUAAUCACUCUCUACCAAUGGUGGAGAGCGACCCAUCCUCUGGUCCGCGUUUUGCGGACUAGAGGAUCUGAGCUGCUUGAAGAACGGGUAGCUAAGUCUCAAAAGGUCCGAUCAACUUUAAAAUUGACCAACUGUAUGUUGGAAGACUUGCCCUUGAAGAGUAGGAUCCCGAAGGUCCGACCGACUCAGCUGGGGUCGACUAGCUGCAUACUGGGAGUUGAGCCCAUGAAGUAGGGAGCUGAGUCUCGAAGGUCUGACCGAUGUUGGUACCGAUCAGCUAUAUGCUGAGAGACUUGCACAGGUGAAGUGAAUAGUUAAGUCUCGAAGGUCCAACCGGCAUUGGUGUCGAUUGGCUAUAUGUCGAGAGAUUUGUAUAGGAGAAGUGGAGAGUUGAGUCUCAAAGGUUCGACCGGUGGUAAUGUCGACCGGUUAUAUGCUGAGAGAUUUGCAUAUGCGAAGUAGGGAGCUGAGCCUCGUAAGUCUUACCGACACUGGGACCAAUCAAUUGUGUACUUGGAGCUGAGCCCAUGAAGUGGGGGGUUGCGCCCCGAAGGUCUGAUCGGUGUUGGAGCCGAUCGGUUAUAUGCUGAGACACUUGCACAUAGGAAGAGGGGAGCUGGGCCUCAAAAGUUUGACCGAUGUUGGGGCUGGCCGAGUAUAUGCUGAGACAUUUGCACAUAGAAGUGGGGAGUUGGACCCCGAAGGUCCAAUCGACUGUGUACUGGGAGUUGAGCCCAGGAGAAGUGGGUGGCUGAGCAUCAAAUAUGAGUGGUCUGUCCGACUACAUACACCCUGACUAUCUCCUUGACUUUGACUGUCACCUCUCUUUGACUUUGACUAUUAUAUCAACUUGACUUUAAUUGUCACCUCCUCUUAACUUCAACUACCAUAUUAUUUUAGGUAUCGAUCUCAUAUUAUUUUCGGGAGCAUCCACGACACGUCGUAUUAAUAUACAUACUUGACAUUCUUGUUUUUAUUUAAUUUUCUUUACCAGGUGAUAUUUGUUCAACAUUAGAUAGACGGACAUCUAUUUGAGAGUAUACGGGGAGGAACAUAUAUCCUAGACGACUGGGUAUGAGAUGAGCAACACUCUUAGCGAGAGUUUGACUGAGGCGAAUAGAGCAAGUUCAAUUCAGUUCAACUACAAAAGUUUGUUCAAGGUAAAUGAGUAUAGGGAUAGAGAUGAAAUUAGGUGCAGACUGCGGAGUUAUUUGUUUGCAUGUAUUUGUGGUGAAGGGAAUUUGGUGAGAGUGACAAUUAUGUAUUAAAGGUGUCGAUUAAUUGUGGCUCAGAGCAUUGGGGUACACUAGCAAGUCUCCAAUGCUGCCAAAAAGCCUCUUUCCCCUUUUAUGUGAGUCUUCUCACUAAUGAUACAUGAUACACCAUGUGAAAACGGUGCAUAGGUGGAUCCAACCUCGGCUUAAAUUUGUUUGCAACUGUCAGCUAAAUAUUCCGGCACGUGUAACUUUUUUUCAUUGGUUAAAUUCUGAGCACAUGCAUUAAAUCUUGUUCGCAAUGGUGUUACCAUCUCAAAGAGCAUGUCUCAUCGAGGACCUAAGUUCACCCCCAUCAGUUAUUCCUCUUAAACCAAGUUGUAGAAAGAUCAGUUCAAAUCUCCCAUUCUGCUGCCUCCGAGAGUUCUCAUUGCCACUUUGGUAAAACGUCUAGUUUUUCUAUUUCUUUUGUGUAAUUAUUUUUUUUAAUGAUACCAUAUGCAUAUCUUGAUAUACUUGAUUACAUUUUAUGUACAAAUAGCCUCCAUUUUAAUUGCAUUCAAU
This is an RNA transcript of Zingiber officinale, 4756 nucleotides long. It is a transcript of the gene named protein TIC 62, chloroplastic-like, with no coding region annotated. The record is from RefSeq and is a predicted model, not a curated record. The transcript has 4 exons. NCBI's taxonomy places the organism in Eukaryota, Viridiplantae, Streptophyta, Magnoliopsida, Zingiberales, Zingiberaceae.